RNAcentral lists this transfer RNA (73 nucleotides) under Loxodonta africana (African savanna elephant). It matches the Rfam family "tRNA". Rfam says of the family: Transfer RNA (tRNA) molecules are approximately 80 nucleotides in length. Lineage: Eukaryota; Metazoa; Chordata; Mammalia; Proboscidea; Elephantidae. The record is from Rfam by way of RNAcentral.
CCCCUGGUGGUGCAAACAGUUGAGCAUUCAGCUACUAACCGAAAGGCUGGUGGUUCAAAUCCACCCAGGGGCA